Molecule: ribosomal RNA, 421 nt
Filed under: uncultured bacterium
Lineage: Bacteria
Description: bacterial SSU rRNA
Rfam family: Bacterial small subunit ribosomal RNA
Source: RNAcentral
CUCCAGACUCCUACGGGAGGCAGCAGUGGGGAAUAUUGCACAAUGGGCGCAAGCCUGAUGCAGCCAUGCCGCGUGCAUGAAGAAGGCCUUCGGGUUGUAAAGUACUUUCAGCGGGGAGGAAGGCGAUAAGGUUAAUAACCUUGUCGAUUGACGUUACCCGCAGAAGAAGCACCGGCUAACUCCGUGCCAGCAGCCGCGGUAAUACGGAGGGUGCAAGCGUUAAUCGGAAUUACUGGGCGUAAAGCGCACGCAGGCGGUCUGUCAAGUCGGAUGUGAAAACCCCGGGCUCAACCUGGGGACUGCAUUCGGAACUGGCAGGGUGGAGUUUUGUAGAGGGGGGGAGAAUUCCAGGUGGAGCGGUGAAAUGCGUAGAGAUCUGGAGGAAUACCGGUGGCGAAGGCGGGCCCCUGGACGAAGACUG